AAAAGAAACUAACAAGGAUUCCCCUAGUAACGGCGAGUGAAGCGGGAUGAGCUCCAAAUUUAAAAUCUGGCUGGUUUACCAGUCCGAGUUGUAGUUUAAAGAAGCGUUUUCGGUGGCAGGCCGGGUAUAAAUCCUUUGGAACAGGGUAUCAUAGAGGGUGAGAAUCCCGUCUUUGACUCGGCUGAUGUUACUAUGUGAUACGUUUUCAAAGAGUCGAGUUGUUUGGGAAUGCAGCUCAAAAUGGGUGGUAAAUUUCAUCUAAGGCUAAAUAUUGGCGAGAGACCGAUAGCGAACAAGUACCGUGAGGGAAAGAUGAAAAGAACUUUGAAAAGAGAGUUAAACAGUGCGUGAAAUUGUUGAAAGGGAAACGUUUGACACCAGCUAUGUAGGCGGAAAAUCAGUCAAGCGCAGUGAGGGGCUGGUGUUUGUCCGGACCGCAAGGCCGGCGGAUAUCUCAUCUUUGCUGUGGGUGAUGCACUUUUUCGUUCGCAGGUCAACAUCAGUUUCGCUUGCUGGACAAAACCCCGAGAGAAGGUAGCAGCUUUGGCUGUGUUAUAGCUCUGGGGCGAUACAGUGGGUGGGACUGAGGAUUCGCAGUGUGUGCUCUCGGGCAAGGCUGACUGGGUGCUCUGGGGUCGUUUGGCGUACAAUGCUUGCAUUUUGCGUCUUGUCUUCUUCAGACUCGCUUAGUUCGGCUCUUCC
RNAcentral lists this ribosomal RNA (702 nucleotides) under Dissophora globulifera. RNAcentral describes it as "eukaryotic LSU rRNA". It matches the Rfam family "Eukaryotic large subunit ribosomal RNA", at positions 57 to 619 of the family's 3401-position model. Lineage: Eukaryota; Fungi; Mortierellomycota; Mortierellomycetes; Mortierellales; Mortierellaceae. The record is from RNAcentral.